AACGAACGCUGGCGGCAUGCCUAACACAUGCAAGUCGAACGAGACCUUCGGGUCUAGUGGCGCACGGGUGCGUAACGCGUGGGAACCUGCCCUUAGGUUCGGAAUAACUCCCCGAAAGGGGUGCUAAUACCGGAUAAUGUCUUCGGACCAAAGAUUUAUCGCCUUUGGAUGGGCCCGCGUUGGAUUAGCUAGUUGGUAGGGUAAAAGCCUACCAAGGCGACGAUCCAUAGCUGGUCUGAGAGGAUGAUCAGCCACACUGGGACUGAGACACGGCCCACACACCGACGGGGAGCAGCAGUGGGGAGUAUUGGACAAUGGAGGCAAGCCUGACCCAGCCAUGCCGCGUGAGGGAUAAAGGCCAUAGGGUAGUAAAGCUCCUUCAUGGGGGACGAGAAGGACGGUACCCACAAAAGAAGCCACGGCUAACUGCGUG
Molecule: ribosomal RNA, 433 nt
Filed under: uncultured bacterium
Lineage: Bacteria
Description: partial 16S ribosomal RNA
Rfam family: Bacterial small subunit ribosomal RNA
Source: RNAcentral